Molecule: ribosomal RNA, 253 nt
Filed under: uncultured bacterium
Lineage: Bacteria
Description: partial 16S ribosomal RNA
Rfam family: Bacterial small subunit ribosomal RNA
Source: RNAcentral
UACGUAGGUGGCAAGCGUUGUCCGGAUUUACUGGGCGUAAAGGGCGUGCAGGCGGUUUGUUAAGUGCAGGGUGAAAGCUCCCGGCUCAACUGGGAGAGGUCCUUGCAUACUGGCAAACUCGAGGGAGGCAGAGGAAAGUGGAAUUCCCGGUGUAGUGGUGAUAUGUGUAGAGAUCGGGAGGAACACCGGUGGCGAAGGCGGCCUUCUGGACGGUGACUGACGCUGAGGCGCGAAAGCGUGGGGAGCAAACGGG